This is a non-coding RNA of Vicugna pacos (alpaca), 742 nucleotides long. The record is from RefSeq and is a predicted model, not a curated record. Lineage: Eukaryota; Metazoa; Chordata; Mammalia; Artiodactyla; Camelidae.
CGCUCCUCUGACUCUUCCUGUAGUAAUUGCUCCGUGCUCUUCUUAGGUUCGCUCCCCCUCAAAAAAGGCAGAUUUUUCUCCCUGCAUUUGAGCCGGAUCCUCAAGCCCUUCAGAGAGCGCGUUGUACAGCCUGGGCACCUCUUCAGUUCCAGUGUCUUCUGGGCCGCAUGGGUCUCUGGGGCAGCCAGUGGGACAGGACACCUUUCUCCACCGCUGGUGCGUCUGUGUCUGUCUGUUCCUGACCCAGAGGGCUGUCCCUCCAAGUGAGGUGGCUAUCCAGGCACGUUUCCCAAGUCCCCACGACCCCGGAGCUGGUUUAGGACCAGGCACUGUAACGCUGGUCUCCAGCGUCCACUAUCUCACCCUAUCCAGGGGGCAUUUCUCUCAGCAGGUGGGUAUCAAGGCUUCUGGGUUAGUCUUCGGUGCUAAUAUUCAUCACUUUCAAAAGGCUGGUGAGUAGUUGUAGACUGUGUCACUAGUUUACUUUUUUCCCUCUUCUCCUGACCAUUAGCUCGGCACGAUAGGUAACUUUAUUCUGAUUAAGUGCCAGUCCCCAGUCCAGCAAAUCUUAAGUUAUCUAAGGGCUGGCAACCUUCUAUGAAGGUGCAGAUAGUAAAUAUUUCAGGCUUUGCAGGCCAGUCUCUGUUGCAACUCUGUCCUUGGUGGUACAGAAGCAGCUCCAGACAAUAUAUAAAUAAAUGGGUGUGGCUGCGUCCCAGUAGAACCUUACUGUCUACAAAAA